RNAcentral lists this small RNA (227 nucleotides) under Arabidopsis thaliana (thale cress). RNAcentral describes it as "ATSL095410". Lineage: Eukaryota; Viridiplantae; Streptophyta; Magnoliopsida; Brassicales; Brassicaceae. The record is from RNAcentral.
AUAAAGAAAACCUUUGUAAAUCUUUAAAAUCCCUUGUAAAUCUUUUAAAACCCUUGUAAAAUCCUUUGUAAAUCUUUUAAAAUCCCUUGGAUAUAUUUUAAAACCCUUUUAAAAUCCCUUGUAAAUAUUUUAAAACCCUUUUAAAAUCCCUUGUAAAUCGUUUAAAACCCUUUUAAAAUCCCUUGUAAAUUUAUUUCCCGCCAAAAAAUUCUUUUUUGCGGGAAAAU